This 817-nucleotide unclassified non-coding RNA is filed under the name uncultured Prochlorococcus sp. RNAcentral's name for it is "partial may contain 16S ribosomal RNA, 16S-23S ribosomal RNA intergenic spacer, and 23S ribosomal RNA". The stretch from base 350 to 422 matches the Rfam family "tRNA". The record is from RNAcentral. Lineage: Bacteria; Bacillati; Cyanobacteriota; Cyanophyceae; Synechococcales; Prochlorococcaceae.
GACGCCGAAGGUGGGGCUGAUGACUGGGGUGAAGUCGUAACAAGGUAGCCGUACCGGAAGGUGCGGCUGGAUCACCUCCUAACAGGGAGACAAAAACUGAUCAUUAUGUCUGAGUAAAAUAUCCUUAGACAAUGGUCCUGUCACCUUAGGUCGAUCGGUACCUCAAAUUUAUUGUUAAAUCAAACUCCAUCAAAAGAUUUUGAUUUAUUCAAUUGGUUUUAGUUCCUAAACUUUGUCUAGGUCACACCCCGCAAGGGUUACUCCUGGGCCAUUAGCUCAGGUGGUUAGAGCGCACCCCUGAUAAGGGUGAGGUCCCUGGUUCAAGUCCAGGAUGGCCCAUUCGGUGUUUGGGGGUUUAGCUCAGUUGGUAGAGCGCCUGCUUUGCAAGCAGGAUGUCAGCGGUUCGAGUCCGCUAACCUCCACUGACCGACCUCCUGCAGUGCCCAAGCGAUGAGUACCUUUGUGAGUAUGUGAUUUGGACUUUAUUCAGCUGAUUGGAACCUAGCCUCCUGUCAUUCCAUGCCGAAAUUAAUUAGGCAAGGUUGAAAGGAUGCUGGGCUCACUAGAAUUUAAAUUAAUUCUAGGGACGUUCGGCAGAACCUUGACAACUGCAUAGCUUAAGUCUGGAAAGAAUAAAGCAUCUCAUAGAUUUAUUAUUCUUUCGGAACAAAAUCCACUUCUUAUUUAUAUAAGUUGUGUGAUUUUUUUAUGAAAGAUUGAUAGUAAUUCUUGAGUCAAGAGCCAAGACUCUAUAUCGAUUUAACUAAUUAUUUGGUUGGAUUCUAUAGAGAUUAAUUGGUCAAGCUACAAAGGGCUC